Molecule: long non-coding RNA, 214 nt
Filed under: Pomacea canaliculata
Lineage: Eukaryota; Metazoa; Mollusca; Gastropoda; Architaenioglossa; Ampullariidae
Description: uncharacterized LOC112566556
Source: RNAcentral
CGUGGUGCAAGGUGUGACCUCAGGCAAUGUGACUGGUACUGAGUGCACUGUACAGGAGUCGUACCUGAUGUACAAAACUGUUCUGACUCAGCACGCGCACGAAGUCUGCACUAACACGUGGUGUUGGCAUUUUCCUCCGCGAUGUAGGAGAUGAAGAACAGAGCUGAGGUCAACGUACAAAGUGGUCACGGAGCUCGCCUAUCGCAGGAAGAAU